RNAcentral lists this long non-coding RNA (215 nucleotides) under Elaeis guineensis (African oil palm). Its description in RNAcentral is "long non-coding RNA (EGUI_LNC051516)". The record is from RNAcentral. Lineage: Eukaryota; Viridiplantae; Streptophyta; Magnoliopsida; Arecales; Arecaceae.
CUCAUAACCUAAUCGGGUCAAAUCUAAUUGAAUCUAAUUUAAUUAAAUUUUAUUUAAUCUUUUUUACUCAAUCAAAUUAAGCUAAUCAGUAAUUUAAUUACUAAUUAAUUCUUUAUUAAUUUACUAAUACUUGAUGAAUUAAUUUAUUAUAACUUUUGUAUAAGGUUAACUAUCAAUUGAAUUGAUGAUUAAGCCCUUGAAUGAUUCUCAGUCGU